GCUUAGCACUUAGCUAACGUUAGCAGUCCUCUUAAAUCUGCUUUUUGUCAAUGAACCUAAUCUUUAAACAGUUUAGCUUGUAACUGACAUUGUGGCAUUGUGUGUAUUCAUAAAAAAUAAAAUAAAAAUGAAAUAGCUGCUCUGCCUCACAGCCAGACUUGCUGUUAUAGCAGCAUUUUACCAUUUACUGAGUUUUUUUGUCUCUGUACACUGUAACCUUGAACCCACUAACUCACAGUUUGUCACUGGUUUUCUCAACAGAACAUCGAUACUGCUGUGCGCUUUUGAUUGUGUUGGUUACCCCCGUGGCAACUCGACAGUCCGCUGGCCUCCAGCUCCUCUCCCUCUCCAUCUAUCUAUGAGAUCAUUCACCUCUCUCCUAUCACUCUACCCACUCAUCCCUUAAUAUAAGACGUUCUAUCUCUCCUGUCAUAUCUAAUAUAUCUAUCUAAAUUUUGGAAAUUCUAUCAUUCUAUCCCUCUAAUUCUAUCCCGCUCUAUCUCCUUGCAUUCUUGCAAGAAACCUGUUUUUUUGGAACGAUAUAUUUGAAACUUGUCUUUUGGAACCUGAUAUUAACAGAUUACUGGUAUCUGUUUUGGAUUCAUGGGUUGAUUGGAACCUGAUCAUUCUGUUUUAUGGUUCUGUGAGUUUCUCUGCUCACACUUUUUCUACCUCUCCUGUCUCUCUCUCACACACAUUUGAUUUGGCCUUUUCAAUUGGCAAAAAC
Long non-coding RNA from Sander lucioperca (pikeperch), 727 nucleotides. RefSeq lists it as uncharacterized. NCBI's taxonomy places the organism in Eukaryota, Metazoa, Chordata, Actinopteri, Perciformes, Percidae. The transcript is spliced from 3 exons. The record is from RefSeq and is a predicted model, not a curated record.